Aphis gossypii (cotton aphid) is the source of this 1086-nucleotide long non-coding RNA. RefSeq lists it as uncharacterized. Lineage: Eukaryota; Metazoa; Arthropoda; Insecta; Hemiptera; Aphididae. The transcript has 5 exons. The record is from RefSeq and is a predicted model, not a curated record.
UAAUUAUUAGUGAUAUUAUCUACAAUAUUAUGUUAUAGUUACACUUAUACCACUUCGAUACAUAGUUGAUACCUAUUCUGGCUGUGGCUGCUUUCUUAAAGUAAACCCGAGAUGGGAUUUCUUCUAGAACACAAUCACAUUGGAAUAUAUUAUGUGACAGGAAAGUAUGCCGUGACGUGAUUGUUGUUAAACGGUAACUAUGUAAUGCCGCGCCAGUUUACACCGUCGCCGACGCUUCCGAAAACUGAAGAAAGUGUAGCGGCUAGUACAUGCGAUCCUGGUAUCGCACCUCCGACCUGACAACGCAAUCGACCGCAAACCGAAAGUAAUGAGCGACGUCACGACGAGAUUGACAUCGAUUGAACAGAAGAAAACACUGACAGUUAUAUAAUUAUUUAAUUUGAUCGUCACAGGCAAGAAAUUCGUCUUUUUAAAAAUAUCAUUCUGUUCGUUUCCAAUUUCCAACCCUCUCUUCUGCGAUAUCGGCUUUGUAGGUACAAGUCACGUAUAAUAAUAAUACACACUGCGACCAAGGCUAUUGUAAUGUCAAAGAAACGGUUUGCGCCCACAAAACACCGUCCUCGCGACAUUCGACACAGAAAUCUCGAUAAUGUAUAAUAUACGCGCAAGCGCGACGCAAUACUGUCAUAGUACUAUAUUAUAUACACUACAAUAUAAUAAAAUAAUAAUAAUACUAUGUUUUGUUUUGGCGUGUCCCGUUUUCCUGCUGCGUGAUUCUGCUUCCGCGCGACUUCCGAUGUCGACGUGGCGUUUCAUUCGUCCCGCGUUUACGGAUUUUCGUCGAGAUGAAAACGUCAGCCUCGGAAUCGGGGAAAAAAUGAGCACCGCGCCCGCGCCACGCCGCUUUCUAUGCGACGAGCAAGUAUAUAUAUAUGUGUGUACAGCCCUAACCUAACGACGAGCUUUUGGGGCGGACGUAGCGGAAAGCGGAAAAACGAGAAAACGACGACAGCCGAUUACCUGCAGUCUAUCAGAAUAUCGGAAAACGACAGCAGAAAAAAAAAUAAAAAAAAAAGAGUUCAAACAACGAUUUCGAUAUGGGAAAUUUUUAUUAGUCAUGGCACG